Molecule: ribosomal RNA, 438 nt
Filed under: Burkholderia multivorans
Lineage: Bacteria; Pseudomonadati; Pseudomonadota; Betaproteobacteria; Burkholderiales; Burkholderiaceae
Description: bacterial SSU rRNA
Rfam family: Bacterial small subunit ribosomal RNA
Source: RNAcentral
AACAUGCAAGUCGAACGGCAGCACGGGUGCUUGCACCUGGUGGCGAGUGGCGAACGGGUGAGUAAUACAUCGGAACAUGUCCUGUAGUGGGGGAUAGCCCGGCGAAAGCCGGAUUAAUACCGCAUACGAUCUACGGAUGAAAGCGGGACCCCUUCGGGCCUCGCGCUAUAGGGUUGGCCGAUGGCUGAUUAGCUAGUUGGUGGGGUAAAGGCCUACCAAGGCGACGAUCAGUAGCUGGUCUGAGAGGACGACCAGCCACACUGGGACUGAGACACGGCCCAGACUCCUACGGGAGGCAGCAGUGGGGAAUUUUGGACAAUGGGCGAAAGCCUGAUCCAGCAAUGCCGCGUGUGUGAAGAAGGCCUUCGGGUUGUAAAGCACUUUUGUCCGGAAAGAAAUCCCUGGCUCUAAUACAGUCGGGGGAUGACGGUACCGAAG